Lotus japonicus is the source of this 1036-nucleotide long non-coding RNA. RefSeq lists it as uncharacterized. Lineage: Eukaryota; Viridiplantae; Streptophyta; Magnoliopsida; Fabales; Fabaceae. The record is from RefSeq and is a predicted model, not a curated record. The transcript is spliced from 5 exons.
CACCACCUCCAUCACCUUCAUUCUCCCGUCAAACCCACCACCUCCUAACACGCGAUGCCCACCUUCACAGUAACCGUCUCAAAUCCCUAAACCUCACCACCACCUUCAUUCUCUUUUCAAACCCAAUCAACCACGACCACAUCACUUCACCUUCUCCGUCCUUAUCUUCACAACACAAAGCCGCUGCAACCACCUAAUCACUCUUCUCCAAAUCAAGCCAUAGUUGCGAACGCCUCUCUUCCUGAACCCCAAAUCAAACCAAAGUCGCUGCCAUCGCCAUUUCUCCUACCUUCGCCUUCCCCAAAUUUGCACCCGCACCACUUCACCUACCAUCCUUAUUCUCUCUACUGUCACUGUCGAUUCGUGGUCGUCCUCAGAACUGUGCUCCACCCUUCUGGUUUGUCAUCCAUGUUUAUCUCUCUCCACCGUCAUCUAUUCUGUAGGUUUUAUCCCCUUCUUUCAACAAAAUUGCGUCUCUGAUUGUGUCUCAGCCAUCAUUGUUCCAUGUUUCUUCUUCUUUCUUAGUUGCUGGACUAUCUGGGCAGAUGACUUGGAUAAGAGGUGGUCCGACAUGUUUGGAUGCUAGCAACAUUAUUGAAGCUAUAGAUAACAGAAUGCUUACAUAAGCAGAAUCAAAUGGGCAUCAUUGUCAAGCCAUUGCUCCAUUUAGCAACCAUUUCUUGCUGUUGGUCUCUAAGAUUACUUCAGUUCAAACUCCAUCUAAUUCAGGAGGAAUAUGUACUGCUUCAGCUAUCAGUCUGGCGAAUUGGAGCAUCUGAUGAAUGUAUGAUUACCAAGCAUUUUGUGUUCAUUAAUCUCUGUUUACUAUGGUUAAAUGAACGUGUAUUUCCUCAGUGUUCUGGAUUUCAUUGUCUUGUAUGCUAUGUUAACUGCCACCUCUACGAAGGAUGUUGUUAUCCUCAUGAUAUACAAUUAUCUAUCAGAUUUAAUAAAAAUCUAUCUGUUUAAUGGCAGGUCGAUGAGAUGAUUGGUGUCACUCAUCAUCCUCGUAGUAAUCUUGUUGCAACUUAUAGUG